ACUGCUCAGUAACACGUGGAUAACCUGCCCUAAGGAAGGGGAUAACCUCGGGAAACUGAGGAUAAUACCCUAUAGGUUACAGACGCUGGAAUGCCCUGUAACCGAAAGUUCCGGCGCCUUAGGAUGGAUCUGCGGCCGAUUAGGUUGUUGUUGGGGUAACGGCCCAACGAGCCGAUAAUCGGUACGGGUUGUGGGAGCAAGAGCCCGGAGUUGGAUUCUGAGACAUGAAUCCAGGCCCUACGGGGCGCAGCAGGCGCGAAAACUUUACAAUGCGGGAAACCGUGAUAAGGGAACCCCGAGUGCCUGUAUAUGCAGGCUGUCCAGGUGUCUAAAAAACACCUGAAGAAAGGGCCGGGCAAGACCGGUGCCAGCCGCCGCGGUAAUACCGGCGGCUCGAGUGGUGGCCACUUUUAUUGGGCUUAAAGCGUUCGUAGCUGGGUUGUUAAGUCUCUUGGGAAAUCUGACGGCUCAACCGUCAGGCGUCCAAGGGAUACUGGCAAUCUUGGAACCGGGAGAGGUGAGGGGUACUUCGGGGGUAGGAGUGAAAUCCUGUAAUCCUCGAGGGACCACCUGUGGCGAAGGCGCCUCACCAGAACGGCUUCGACAGUGAGGGACGAAAGCUGGGGGAGCAAACCGGAUUAGAUACCCGGGUAGUCCCAGCCGUAAACGAUGCGCGUUAGGUGUAUCGGUGACCACGAGUCACCGAGGUGCCGAAGGGAAACCGUGAAACGUGCCGCCUGGGAAGUACGGUCGCAAGGCUGAAACUUAAAGGAAUUGGCGGGGGAGCAC
This 789-nucleotide ribosomal RNA is filed under the name Methanoculleus sp. enrichment culture clone A5_19. RNAcentral describes it as "bacterial SSU rRNA". It matches the Rfam family "Archaeal small subunit ribosomal RNA", at positions 85 to 879 of the family's 1478-position model. The record is from RNAcentral. Lineage: Archaea; Methanobacteriati; Methanobacteriota; Methanomicrobia; Methanomicrobiales; Methanomicrobiaceae.